RNAcentral lists this ribosomal RNA (252 nucleotides) under uncultured bacterium. RNAcentral's name for it is "partial 16S ribosomal RNA". It matches the Rfam family "Bacterial small subunit ribosomal RNA", at positions 524 to 775 of the family's 1533-position model. The record is from RNAcentral.
UACGAAGGGUGCAAGCGUUACUCGGAAUUACUGGGCGUAAAGCGUGCGUAGGUGGUUUGUUAAGUCUGUUGUGAAAGCCCCGGGCUUAACCUGGGAAUGGCAUGGGAAACUGGCGGGCUGGAGUGUGGCAGAGGGGGGUGGAAUUCCGGGUGUAGCGGUGGAAUGCGUAGAGAUCCGGAAGAACACCAGUGGCGAAGGCGGCCCGCUGGGCAGUGGCUGACGCUGAGGCGCGACAGCGUGGGGAGCAACAGG